Molecule: ribosomal RNA, 1269 nt
Filed under: Triticum aestivum (bread wheat)
Lineage: Eukaryota; Viridiplantae; Streptophyta; Magnoliopsida; Poales; Poaceae
Description: partial small subunit ribosomal RNA
Source: RNAcentral
AUGGCGGGGCGAGGCGAUUGGCGUGUGCAGAAGCAGGGCAACUCGGGCGGCGGCCGCGGAUCCUGGGUGCAGGGCCGCGGAGAUGCUGGUGGCGGGGGAUUCUGGGUGGCAGGGCGAGGUGAUGCAGGUGGUGGCGGUGCUGGUUGGCGUGGACCAACGCAACAGAGACCGCCCACUCCUCCAACUCUCUCCACUCAGCCCAAUCCUCUAGUUGGGGGUGCAUAUGGCGUGGAGCAUGGAUUUGGAGGUGGUCAACAUGGUCAUGGGGAGUACUUAGUUGGCCGUGGUGGACAUGGAUCUGGGCAACAUGGGAGCGGUGGUUUUGUCUUCGGACAGCAAGGGCAGUUCUACCAGCAACCUCCAAUUCCUCCUUCAGGUAACUUUCAGACACAUCCUGCUGUUGGGUUUGGAGCAGUUCAGUUUGGCCAUAUGGGCAAUGAUGCUUUGGGUAGUUAUCAGUAUUCUGGAACUAGCAACUCACCUAAUCAACAAGGACAGGGGUAUGGUUAUACUGGUUUCAAUUCAAAUCAAUCUGGUACUAGCACUGGGCCUGCAAAUAUUGGGAGCAGAUCACAGAUGACAUGCUAUAAAUGUGAGAAUACUGGUCAUGCUGUUAAGGAUUGUCAGACUGUGUUAUUUUGCGUCAACUGCACCAAGGAUUCACACCUUUCGCGCAAGUGCUCUUUCCUGUCACAACCUAAGCCUGUUGCCAGUCUGGUUGGUAGUGCUGCUGAUGGUUUGCAGAUGUUCUCAGCAAGGACCAGAAAGAAGCCGGAGCCAGAUGAAAACAAGCAGGCUAUAGCUAUUAUUACUGUGAAAAAUGCAAGCCUGACUGCGUUACAGCUUGUUAACUCUCUCAGCAUGAUGUUCCAGUGGGGAUGGGAGUGGCAGGCUAAGCCUUAUCUCAGAGAUAGCUUUUUAGUCAAAUUCCCUUCCGCGAAUAAAAUUGAUGAAAUGAAGGCGUACAAUUUCUUUGGUCUGAUUGGAACAACAGCUAAUAUCAAAGUAGAUAGAUGGACCAACUCUUCAACUGCAGCUUUCAAACUGUAUGUUUGCUGGGUUAGAAUAACAGGGGUUCCCGAGACACUGGAGCACUAUCAAGGUUUUUGUGAAGUUGGUUCUCUCAUUGGUUCAGUUUUGGAACUGGACAUGGAGCUCUAUAGGCAAUGUGGAGUUCUCAGGGCUAAGAUUGGAGUUACGGAUCCUAGGAAAAUACCCUCUAGCGCUCCCCUGAAUGAAAGUGGUUUUUAUCUUCAACAUAUACUUUGA